Long non-coding RNA from Neltuma alba, 121 nucleotides. RefSeq lists it as uncharacterized. NCBI's taxonomy places the organism in Eukaryota, Viridiplantae, Streptophyta, Magnoliopsida, Fabales, Fabaceae. The transcript has 3 exons. The record is from RefSeq and is a predicted model, not a curated record.
AAUGUUGGCUAUUGUUAAUUGUUGUGCAUAAGUUGUUAUUACAGUGAUCGAAGGUUGUCAUUAACGACCCUAUGACCUGUCCUGUUAUGUAGGAUAGAAGACUUGAGUAAGUUGUAAAAUU